CCCAGAGCAAGAGGAAUUCAACAGCAGAUGCCUUCGGACUUGACCCAUGACGUUGGUUCUCUCCUGGAUCUGCGGCCUGCAAGAUUCCCCGGCUGUGUCUCACAGAGGCUGGGACCUAGCCGGCCCCACUGCUCCCAUCCUAGGUCAGGAGGAAGUCAAGAUUUGACAGAUGCAUUCUAGCAUGAGGGCUCCCAGAUUGGGAAUUUGUCUCCCUCUGAAACCAAAGCUUGCAAAAGCAGAAGACCCCAACAAACAGGAGCUCAGCCAUCUGCAGAAGUAACUCAUCUCAGAAGAAGCCCUGCUGGGUUUCCCACACUGCACUUGGUCCUGGAGAUGCAAUGGUCCUGGGCAGGCCAAGCGGGGAAACAACAAACCUACAGCUCAACAUGCCCCCCAGUACAUAGUUGUAUAUUCUUCAUUGUGGGUCCUUCUAGUUGUGGCAUGUGGGACGCUGCCUCAGCAUGGUUUGAUGAGCAGUGCCAUGUCCGUGCCCAGGAUUCGAACCAACGAAACACUGGGCCACCUGCAGCGGAGCGCACGAACUUAACCACUCGGCCACGGGGCCAGCCCCUACACAGCAAGUUUUUAAAAAUGUUUUACUUUGUCUCAAUUUUUACUUUAUCAAAGGAAUUUGCAUAGUUUAAAAAGUCAACUACUUCCAGGAAAAAGAAAUAAAAGGAAUCCAAAUAGGUAACGAAGAAGUAAAACUCUCGUUGUUUGCAGACGACAUGAUCUUAUACAUAGAAAACCCCAAAGAAUCCACAGAAAAACUAUUAGAAAUAAUCAACAACUACAGCAAAGUAGCAG
Molecule: long non-coding RNA, 807 nt
Filed under: Equus asinus (donkey)
Lineage: Eukaryota; Metazoa; Chordata; Mammalia; Perissodactyla; Equidae
Description: lncRNA (ENSEASG00005036991.1)
Source: RNAcentral